CCUUUACGUAUGGCGGACCGGGGCACGGGUGAGUAACGCGUAUGCAACCUGCCCGAUACCGGGGUAUAGCCCAUGGAAACGUGGAUUAACACCCCAUAGUACUUUUAUCCUGCCUGGGAUGGGAGUUAAAUGUUCAAGGUAUCGGAUGGGCAUGCGUCCUAUUAGUUAGUUGGCGGGGUAACAGCCCACCAAGACGAUGAUAGGUAGGGGUUCUGAGAGGAAGGUCCCCCACAUUGGAACUGAGACACGGUCCAA
This 255-nucleotide ribosomal RNA is filed under the name uncultured bacterium. RNAcentral's name for it is "partial 16S ribosomal RNA". It matches the Rfam family "Bacterial small subunit ribosomal RNA", at positions 77 to 334 of the family's 1533-position model. The record is from RNAcentral.